AUUACUCCUACGGGAGGCAGCAGUGGGGAAUAUUGGACAAUGGGCGAAAGCCUGAUCCAGCCAUGCCGCGUGUGUGAAGAAGGUCUUCGGAUUGUAAAGCACUUUAAGUUGGGAGGAAGGGCAGUAAGCUAAUACCUUGCUGUUUUGACGUUACCGACAGAAUAAGCACCGGCUAACUCUGUGCCAGCAGCCGCGGUAAUAAU
This 203-nucleotide ribosomal RNA is filed under the name uncultured bacterium. RNAcentral describes it as "partial 16S ribosomal RNA". It matches the Rfam family "Bacterial small subunit ribosomal RNA", at positions 332 to 527 of the family's 1533-position model. The record is from RNAcentral.